This is a long non-coding RNA of Biomphalaria glabrata, 6886 nucleotides long. RefSeq lists it as uncharacterized. The transcript is spliced from 4 exons. NCBI's taxonomy places the organism in Eukaryota, Metazoa, Mollusca, Gastropoda, Planorbidae. The record is from RefSeq and is a predicted model, not a curated record.
UUUAACACAGGGAUUUACCGUUUGUUCAAAGUAUGAAAGUUCAAUUUGUUUAUCAUCUUCAAGUUUCAAGAUUAUUUUAAAGAAUCACUGUCUAGAGCUAUAGAUCUAAUAUAAUCUAUCUAGAAUCUAGAUUUUUCAGCGGUUAUAUAUGAAGACGUCUUCUUGACUCUGCAAUCAUGUUGAAGUUCAUAAUUGCUCUCAUCCACCUCUUACCAGUGCUAGAAAGCCAACAUGUAUCAAGCUUGGUACCAAUAUCCAGGUGCAAUAAGAAUGAUUCUAUAGACAUGAAAGAAUUUUAUCUCUGCAAACUAGAUGACUGUGAAAAGUGGAUAAAAUUUAGAAAAUGUCCCGAUAAAAAUUCCUCUGAAAUAAAUUUUGCAAAGGAAAGUUUUUUCUGCAACUCAACUACAGGUCCUGAAGAUACAUUUGCUAUAGGGCUAAUGGAAAAAAACAAUUGUGAAGCUUAUAUCAGUCAGGAUGGUGGAAGAAUAUACCGUUGUGAAUAUCUGCAUUGUUGGUUUACAUUUGAAGAAUGUGGAAAUGACAUGGAAUUGCUCAACUUUAACACAUUGUUGUGUCAGUCUAUUCCAAAACUCACUGAAAGUUUACAGAGUUUAACUCUUCCAAUAGAUCCACCAUCUGUUCAUUCUUCUAUAAAUGCUGGUGAAGUCUCAGGACCUGGGAAAUACACUUUAAUUAUUGCACUUUUAAUAGGUCUCUAUAUUGUUGAUAAUUUUUAAAGGCCUAUUGGCCUUUUUGUUGUUUUUUUUUGUCAUGACAAUAGCAGCUUUAUAUUAUAUAUUAUAUUAUAUAGAUAUAUAUUUUUGUUUUGAAAAAAAAAAUAGAAUUAAUAACCAACGCAAAAAAUGCUAAUGCAUUUUAUUUUAUUGUAACUAAAUUUUUUCAAGAGAUGUUGAUAACCGACUUGCUAAGGCAAGUAGAGCUUUUGUAUGCCUCCAAGUGAGAGAGAGGCAGAAUAAAUCCUUCCAGCUGCCUACAAAAAUUAGUGUCUACCAAAAAGUGGUUCUUGCCACACUUUAUUAUGGUUCUGAGACUCUAUAAUGGGCAUUCGCUGACAGGACUACUUUACAAAUAUUCAUGUUCUGUUGGAGGCUGAUGUGGACAGUAUAGAAGCAUUACUUAUUUAACACCUGUAUUGGGUCUGACUUUUAUCCUGCAUGGGGGCUGACCACAUGCCUAAAGGGAUCCUCUUUGGUGAGCUUUAAGGAGGACAUCGUGACAGAAGUGUCACUGUAAAUGCUAUAAACACCAAUUCAUGCGCCAUUUUACACUUGCAUAGAGGCAAGUAGCAGGCAGCAGAAAGAAAAGACAGUUUGAGAGCUCUCACUAAGGUGGUAGGAUACACAUUUGAGGUCCCAGAGAAAGUCCUUGUAGAAAAUGGCACAGAGGAUGUAAAAGAAAAACAUAAAUAGACCCCAGUGAACAAUGUCUUUUCCUGCAUCAGAUGUGGAAAAAUAUCUAGGUCGCAACUGGGUUUGUGAAACCUUGGAAACACUGCAUUAUUCAUCCAUCUUUCAAAUUGAAGACAUUGCCAUUAAUUAAACUACAUUAUUAUAUAACCUUUUACUGGUUUGAAAAUAAUGGUAUCAACAUCUAUGCAACUUGCACUCAGAGUAAUAAUAUGAUAAUAAUUCAUUAUUAAUCAAUUCUUUUAAGUGGAAAAUUGUGUGAACUAAUCAAAAUUAGCAUGUUUCAUCAUCAGUUAUUUAAAGAGGUUAUUCACCUGUUGGCAUGCACUAUACCAGGAUAAUUUGUUUUUUAAAGCUGCUGAGAUUUUAUUUCCUCUUGUGGGAAAUGGCCUUAGAGAGAUUGCUAAGCCAAUAAUUGUCUCUGCUGAACAAAACUUGUGGAUGGAUCUGAGAGUGUCUCUCAAAUGUUUUGUGGAUAGACACUACUCAUUGUUAAACCACAAACACUUAGGGUUUAGAAAAUCCUUUACUUUUUGUGGAAUCUCUGAAGUUUUUCAUGUGUAAAUUAUUACGAUAUUUAUGUGUAUUUUUUUUUUUAAAUUGAAAUUAAUAUUUUUAUUUAAUAAAUUUUGUGGUAGAGUAAAAAUAAUAUUCAUAAUAGAAAUUAUUUGAAAUGUUUAACAUGAAUAUCAAAAGUUCUUCUCCCCAACCCGGAACUAAUAUGCUUUUUUAUUUGCUGUAACUUCUAAAAUUAUGGUAAAAGAUUUAGCAUUGAAGAAAAUUUUAUAGAUUUACAUUAACUAUCAUUUUGUAAAAAUGUGAUAAUAUGUUUUAUUAUUAUUUUAUUUUUAAGUUAAAAUUUCAUCCAAUUGCAAUUUAGGUAAAAGCUUUGCAAAAGUAUUUUAACCUAAUAGCACUUAUUAGGGUAGUAGAUGCCUAAUGUUGUAAGUUAUGUUAGGGCAUAAGCAACAGUUUUUAAACUUUCAUAUACAAGAAGAGCUCAUCCUGUCUUGUUAAUAAUAGGAAGUCAAUUGUAGUGACUCUUUUUAUAUAAAGAGCGAGUUCGAGAGAGAAAAAUUGUUUAUGAAUGUGCAGAUAUCACAUUGUAUAAGGCCAACAUGGGAAAAUUAGUGUUUUUUAAGCUAAAGAUAUUGUAAUAACUUAAGUGAGGCAACUCAACGAGACAUAGACGUUUAUUUACACGACAUCACAAGUAUACAAAACAACAACUAUCUUAGGCACAAUUUCUCCAUAUUGGCUCUCUACUUGGGCAGAAGUCAUUUUCCUUUCUCUUCCUAAUGUUGACAUCCUUCUCAGUCUAGUUUAUCACAGUGCGCACCUUCUAGCUUGGAUGGCGGUGCACAUGGCAGAGUUAUAACUAUUAAAAGUUUUUUUUUUUUUUAAACUAGGAAACUAGACAUAUUUUAUAUUUUUUAAAGUUUUUUUUUUUCAAUGUACAAAUCUUUUUUCAUUUACUUAUGUAAAACUCAGUGUUAUUUCUCUUUGUGUAGGAGGUAGUGUUUUUAAAACUGGAAAUAGAGGCUAAUGGGUUAAUGACUUUAUCAGUAGCUUUGUAAAUUGUUUCCUAAGUGUUCAUAAUGGAUUUAAAAAUUGUUGUCGAAAUUCUAUUACAAAAUAUCAUUCCAGUCAAAAUGUUCUUUUCCUGACGCUAAUGCUAUCAUGAAUAUUCUUUGCUCUAAACAAGUAUGGAUAUUGGUUUACCUUAGUAUAUGAGGUCUUGUCUUCUGUGCCCUAGGGUCAUGAUUUUGAAUCCCAGUGAAGACUCUAAUCGGUAAUUAGUUGAGAAAAAUAAAGGUGAUUAGUCAUGGUGCUGGUCAUGCUACAUUCUCAUUAACCAUCUAACAGAUAAAUGAGCUUUACAUAUCAUCUUGUCAUAUUGAUUGUAAGGUCUGAAGGUGAAAUAUUUUUGGUAUAUACCAGUAUUUUAAUCAUUUUCAGUUUGUAUUUUACUCAAUGCAGCUAGUUUGUCAUUUUAUUAACAAAUGAGUGGCUCUGUUGAGUUGAAGCAAUAAUUUCUUUUUAAGAUCAAAGCAAUACAAGGGGAUCUUCUCACUUUGGUCUAGGUCUGAGGUAGGAACAAUCAAGAGAAAACCUCUUGAAAUAUUAAUGAAACUCAUACUUUAAUUGUGCAACAUGUCUACAUCUGUUUCAUUAUCUCGUCAUCUGAAGUGACAUGACUAUAAUUAUUGUACUUCAAUGAUUCUUCCUUUUAUUCAGGAAAAUGUGCCACAUCAAUCCUGUUACCUAGUAAGUACAAAUAUUUUUAAUGUCAUUAUAUUGUCAUGCAGGAUGGCUGCUUUGUCACGUGAUAUUCGUUUUGGACUGUUGAUCAAUAGACUUAAUGGUCCCUGGUCUGAACCCUGCUUGACAAAUAUUUUGACAAAUACUGGUACUGCAUUUUUGCUUACAAUUUUCUUCCCAUUAUCUGAUUGCUUUAUGUCAAGAAUAGCAAAGACACUGUCCCUGGAAACCUGUUAUUGUUUUUCUACACUUUGCUUCAUUUCACCAAAUGCACUAUUCUUUGCAUCUCUUAGUCUCUUCAGUUUCUCAGUGUGAUCCUUUUCACAUUUUCUUUUUGGACUGGCCACAUCCCACAAUUACAAUAUCAUCACCUACAUUAGUACAUCCUUCUAAUCCUAACAAUGAUUCUGUUCAUUUUUUUUUGGAAUAUUUCUCCACUUACACUAAUCCCAAAGAGAAGUCUUAACCAUCUGAAACACCCAAAUGCUGUAAUGAUAGUUUUCAAAGAGAUUAGAAUUUUCAUUCAGAUGAACAAUCCAAGUUAGUUUCUUUGUUGUCUGAUUUUGAAAAUAUUUUCUUAUUUAAGAACUGUUGCAUUACAUCAUCUAAUAUUGGUAUUUUAUGAUAUCCCCUUUUCAAAACUGUGUUCAAAUGUCUCAGGUCUAUGGAAAUCCUUUAAUUGCCAUUCAUUUUUUGGACUACUGCCUGACUUACUUGUCAGUUUGCUAAUUGACUGGAAUUAAUAUUUUCUUUUUACCAGUACUGCUAUUUCUUUCACUUUCUUUUGCAAUGCAAGCGGUAUGUUAUGACAGUUAGGUAAGGCUGUUUUAUUAUCUGCCAGUGAAGCCUCACUGUAUCCAGUUGAAAUCUGUUGACCUUUAAUCUAGAAUUAUACCGUCUCGUAUAAUGUUUUGCACAUUUAUUGAAUUUGAGAGUUCUUUGUAAUAUUCUUCCUAUGCCUUUGAUUCUUCAUUUGGCUGCAAAAUGGUUCUUUUACAUUAUCUGCAAAUUUUACCCCAUGCAGGACGAUGCUGUAUGCAUCCACAAAACCAGGCAGCAGUUUAUCAGCUUUUCACUGUUGUUUUCAUCUUUCUUUGUGGCUCUGCCUUAUUUAUCUUUACUAAUGUUUCAUUGGUUCUUUUCUGCUAGACCUUAUGCUGUUUUGCCAAUAAGUGUGUCAUGCCUCAAAUUUUUAAGUAAUAUUUUCGGAUCAUUUAUAGCUUCAUUUUUCAUAAUAAUGUAGCUGCUCGGGUGGUGGCUCAGGGGGAUCUCGGGUUCAAAUCUCAGUGAAAACUGAGAGCCCCUGAGUCCACCCAACUUUCACAAGGUCUUAAAGGGGUACUUUAUUUUUAAUGGAACUGCUCAUAAAUCUUGGUCCUGCAUUUGAGCUUGGUGCAGUAAAAUGUCUUUUUGUUUUUAGGUUCUUCUUCUAUUGCAAAUGAGAGCAGCAUUACUUGUCUUCUUCAUAUAACUUGUCUUCUUCAUAUAACUUGUCUUCUUCAUAUAACUUGUCUUCUUCAUGUAACUUGUCUUCUUCAUGUAACUUGUCUUCUUCAUAUAACUUGUCUUCUUCAUAUAACUUGUCUUCUUCAUUGAGGAAAAUGUUGUAUUGGCUUCUACUAUGCUCAACUGGUUGGGUGGUUUUUGAUGAUGAUAUUAAUAGACUAAACUUUUCUACUAACUGUCCUCCAGAACAGUUACAAGGAAUGUUACUGCCAAAUACUGAGUAUAUAUAUAUAUAAUAAUAUAUAAAGUAGAAUGUAAGGAUUGUGUAUGUAUGUAUGUCCUGCAUAGAAAUAAAAACUGUUUGAGCAAUCUUGAUAAAACUUGGCUUGAAUAUUCCUCAUAUCAUAUGUAUGUUUAACUAAAGAAUGGAACUUUUUAACAAAUCUGGUAAACCUUUUUUUCGCAGUGUUUAUAUUAGAUAUCAAUACGUCUGCUAAAUGGGUAAACCCAUUUUCAUCCCCUAUUUUCAUUUUUUUGGCAAAAAAAGUGUUAAGGGAGCUUUCACACUGUUGACAUAGAUCUAAUUAUAAUCCACUAGAUCAGUAAUACUCAAAAUAACAUGUUGCCCUUGUCUAGUAUGUGUAUAUGUAUAUAUGUAGUGAAAGAGAGAGGUUUGUGAUUCUAAUCUUCAUUAUUGCCUCCCUUCUGAACUUGUUGUUCUACUCAUGCUUUCAAUUUCUUUCUAGUCUUAUUUAUCUAAUGUCUCCUUUAGUGUGUGUGCCAUGGGAAUUAAAACUGUUAGAUUUUACUAGGGUUUUUUUAAAAUUAUUAUUGACUUGUUUUGCUGUUGGUAUUUUAAGUUUUAGCUGUACACUUAUAUAUGUUAAUGAUAUUAGUAAUUGCUGGUAUAACAUUAAAUUGACUUUGGUAGCGAGGAGAGACCUGUUAGUGCUGAAAAACAUUAAGUUGUGUAUUUUCUCUCAUUAUUUUGUUUUAAAUUAGAAAAUGAAGGUUGUGAAAUAAAAUGUCUUCCAAGAAAUAGAUGUACUAUUAGAAAAAGAGUGAAAGUUGUCUUUAAAAAAAUGUUGCUAUAAAUAUUAGUUUCAAUAUAAAAUUUCAGUAAAAUACCUAAAUGUAUUAUCAAGUUGUUUUGUUUUUUUUCAAAUCCUAUUGAUUAUGUCUAACAAAUGUGUCAAAAGUCAUGGAGGGUAUUAUUCUUAUCUGUGCAAAAAAAUGUUGUUGUUUUUUUUCCUUUUUAUUCCACUUUCAUGUCCAUAUACAUUGAUAUUAGAAGUAUUUAUACUAAGUUCAAUGUUUUCAUUCUAAAAUUAUUUAUAAUUUUGUUUUCUCUUUUAUGAUGACCAUGUCAUUUCUAUUUUCAUACAAACAUACUCAUAAUGAAUAUUUGUUUCUAUGAAAUAGAGAAUAAAAGAAACUAUUUACUAUAUAUUACAUCAAUUCAAGUUGAAGUCAUUUAUUUGAUGAUCACUUUAAUACUUAUGCAUAAUGUUAUUCUUAAACGAUUAGUGAUUUCAAUUCAAUCAAAUCUCUUGUUUAUCAGCGGCCUCCAAAACGGAAAUGUCGCUAUUACUUUUGUGUUGUCUGUCUGUCGUUUGAGAUCGCAAAAGCUCUUAAGAAAUUAAGAUUGUUAACAUGAUAUUUUAGAUUGUGCUAAGCUCUGGUGCAAUUGCUAAUUUAUAUCUUCUAAAAGUGAAGUUUUUUAUUUAUUUUUUCUUUCAUAAAAAAUA